GACGUAGGGCGCGAGCGUUGUCCGGAUUUAUUGGGCGUAAAGAGCUCGUAGGCGGCUUGUCGCGUCGUCUGUGAAAACCCGAGGCUUAACCUCGGGCCUGCAGUCGAUACGGGCAGACUAGAGUUCGGUAGGGGAGACUGGAAUUCCUGGUGUAGCGGUGAAAUGCGCAGAUAUCAGGAGGAACACCGGUGGCGAAGGCGGGUCUCUGGGCCGAUACUGACGCUGAGGAGCGAAAGCGUGGGGAGCGAACAGG
This 253-nucleotide ribosomal RNA is filed under the name uncultured bacterium. RNAcentral's name for it is "partial 16S ribosomal RNA". It matches the Rfam family "Bacterial small subunit ribosomal RNA", at positions 524 to 776 of the family's 1533-position model. The record is from RNAcentral.